GCUUACGGCCAUACCACCCUGAGCACGCCCGAUCUCGUCUGAUCUCGGAAGCUAAGCAGUGUCGGGCCUGGUUAGUACAUUGAUGGGAGACCGCCUGGGAAUACCAGGUGCUGUAAGCU
This 119-nucleotide ribosomal RNA is filed under the name Betta splendens (Siamese fighting fish). Lineage: Eukaryota; Metazoa; Chordata; Actinopteri; Anabantiformes; Osphronemidae. The record is from RNAcentral.